Molecule: ribosomal RNA, 253 nt
Filed under: uncultured bacterium
Lineage: Bacteria
Description: partial 16S ribosomal RNA
Rfam family: Bacterial small subunit ribosomal RNA
Source: RNAcentral
UACGAAGGGUGCAAACGUUGCUCGGAAUCAUUGGGCGUAAAGCGCACGUAGGCGGCUUUGCAAGUCGGACGUGAAAUCCCUCAGCUCAACUGAGGACGUGCAUCCGAAACUGCAAGGCUUGAGUACUGAAGAGGAUCGCGGAAUUCCCGGUGUAGAGGUGAAAUUCGUAGAUAUCGGGGGGAACACCAGUGGCGAAGGCGGCGAUCUGGGCAGAUACUGACGCUGAGGUGCGAAAGCGUGGGGAGCAAACAGG